GUGCACGCUGGCGGCAGGCCUCACCCAUGCCAGUCGCACGGCAGCACAAGAGAGCUUGCUCUCUGGGUGGCGAGUGGCGGACGGGUGAGGAAUGCAUCGGAAUCUGCCCAUUUGUGGGGGAUAACCUCGGGAAACCGGGACUAAUACCGCAUACGACCUACGGGUGAAAGCAGGGGAUCUUCGGACCUUGCGCAGAUGGAUGAGCCGAUGCCGGAUUAGCUAGUUGGAGGGGUAAAGGCCCACCAAGGCGACGAUCCGUAGCUGGUCUGAGAGGAUGAUCAGCCACACUGGGACUGAGACACGGCCCAGACUCCUACGGGAGGCAGCAGUGGGGAAUAUUGGACAAUGGGCGCAAGCCUGAUCCAGCCAUGCCGCGUGUGUGAAGAAGGCCUUCGGGUUGUAAAGCACUUUUGUUGGGAAAGAAAAGCAGCCGGUUAAUACCCGGUUGUCAUGACGGUACCCAAAGAAUAAGCACCGGCUAACUUCGUG
RNAcentral lists this ribosomal RNA (489 nucleotides) under uncultured bacterium. Its description in RNAcentral is "partial 16S ribosomal RNA". It matches the Rfam family "Bacterial small subunit ribosomal RNA", at positions 29 to 507 of the family's 1533-position model. The record is from RNAcentral.